AUCGCGUCGCCCCGMCACCAUACUUCCCUAUUGGGUAGUUAUGGUGUUUGGGAGCGGAGAUUGGCCUCCCGUGCCUGUGGUGCGGUUGGCCUAAAUAUGAGUCCCCUUCGGUGGAUACACGGCUAGUGGUGGUUGUAUUGACCCUCGUCUUGUGUCGUGUAUCGUGAGCUGUUAGGGAAACACUCAUCUCAAGACCCCAUCGUAUCGUCUUG
This 212-nucleotide unclassified non-coding RNA is filed under the name Acanthocephalus benthamianus. RNAcentral's name for it is "ITS2". The record is from RNAcentral. Lineage: Eukaryota; Viridiplantae; Streptophyta; Magnoliopsida; Asterales; Asteraceae.